Molecule: long non-coding RNA, 653 nt
Filed under: Sinocyclocheilus grahami
Lineage: Eukaryota; Metazoa; Chordata; Actinopteri; Cypriniformes; Cyprinidae
Description: lncRNA (ENSSGRG00000030439.1)
Source: RNAcentral
GGAUCUGGUGGCUACGGUGACCUCGGAAUAAGAGAGAAACAGAGUUUAACAGCUCUUAAACGUUUCGUCUUUGACAUACUGUGUUGAUUUUCUAUCAGCUGACUUGUAAAUAUAUGAAACACUGACAAUGUAUUUGUUGGACCAAUAAUACUUGCUGAUAAAAUGUCUUUGUAUCUUCAGACGAACAGCAUCCUAGAGAUUGUGAAGACCCCACACUGGACCACCAUAAACCCAAACCCAGCCAAAGCUCAGAACUGAGCACCAACAGCACACUACUGGACGACGUAGCGAACUGUUGCUGGAAGGGGCAGAGCAGAUCUGUGAGACUGAUGCUGCCCAAAUCUGUAGCUCGCACCCCCUGUGACCAGGCCUACUGGAUGCUGAAAGCUCUCUUGAAGAUUGUUCGGAGCAGUUCGUCUUCCAUCAGACCAAUCGAGAAAAGUGCGUCCACAGCUUGUUAUCAGGAUUUCCAUCUGUUGCUGAUCUUGCAUCUUCUACGCUUUGGCAGUGAAGAGCUGCAGACACCUGCAGACACGCAUCAGUGCACAUUCUGCUACAUAAUAAACAGUCGACUGUUUGUGGCUCCGCUGGAUGCACAGACCGCCUGUCCAGUGUGCAAGAUGCCCAAAUCUGAACACCAUUAUACUGAAUGA